Molecule: RNA transcript, 2049 nt
Organism: Temnothorax curvispinosus
Lineage: Eukaryota; Metazoa; Arthropoda; Insecta; Hymenoptera; Formicidae
Exons: 3
Source: RefSeq, a predicted model, not a curated record
ACGUUUUCCUACGAGUCGCGAGUUCCGGUGCUCAUCCGUAUAUCUUCAUCGCGUUUGUGUGCCGUGAGCCGCCGUCGCGUUCGGCGUCGUCAUCGUCCAGCGUCAGUAGGAUACCAGAUCUCGAUCGGUGUCUUCGCCGAGGACGUACGUCCCUCUCGAGACGUACGUUGCUUCACUUCCUUCCAGCCGGGAGUAGCGGGUUGCGCGCCGAAAACGAACGAUCGGGAGAAAGUGCAAAGUAGGACGAUGAGAAAAGAGAUGGGAGAAGUAACAACAAGUAGAGAGUGAGAACCGAAUCUGAGUGCGAGACUACGAAUGAUGACGAGUCGCGGCGCGAACGAGAGCGAGAGGAGAGGCCGCUGCCGCGGCCGACGUAUUGUGUAUCGCGAAUAGGCCGCACGCGAAUACCCAUCGAGACGCGCGGAGCGCGCGGCUAUAUGUGCGACGUCUCGGCGUCUAUGUGUUCGUCGGUGUUUCGACGGGCAGCGCGCGGUGAGACAGACGGAGAGAGGUGCCGGGUGUCCAUGUGUGUUCCGGGAGCGCGCGUGUGCGCGCGGGGGCGGCCAUUCGCGGGUGCUCCGCGAUAUUGUACGCGAUGCCGAGCGCGAACGACGACAGGCCGGCGGCAUUCGCCGCAGCCCUUUCCGCGACGUGGGCACGCGUUCACGGCAACGCUGAUAGCGACGGCGAUUUUGCGCGCUCCGCCGCGUGUGGAAGCGGCGGAAGGCGGAAAGCAGAGACGAAAGAGCGAAAGCGAAAAGAAGGGAUCUUUCGGCUGUACGCGAGCGAUCGUGCAUGCGUGUGUGCAAUCGCGUUAAAUAUGUGUGCACGAUCGUAUAUGUGCAUGCGCGGGCGCGGAGGAGAUCUGCCUGACGUCCUUGGUCUUUGGUGACUCAUCGCAGGUAGACAGACUGCCUUUGAGGGACAAAGAGAAAAGAUUUAUUGUUCUGUAGACAGUGAGUGGCCGUUAUAAACGGUUCUUAAAAUGGAAGGAAAUGGCACCAGGAUCGACUACGAAGAUAUGUUUAGAGAAAUUACAAAGAAACUUUACGGCGAUGAUCCUGAUCAUAAGACGUCGAGCGUACAGAACGAGUUUGAAGCAUCCGUUUCCUACAAAAACGACGAAGAUACUGGAAACGGUACCGACGGUAGCGACGACGGAAACUGGACAUACGAAGACGAACCACUUAAAGGAACCGAUGGAAGUCGAAUCGCGGCUUACCACGCCGGAAAAGCUAUGUGGCGAUGUGAUGAGUGUGGUAAAUAUAUAUGAUUCUUGUACUGUUAAAAAUAUUUGCGUUGCGGCAUUGCCUCUUUCCCUCCAAUUGCGUUAAAAAUAUUGUUGCGUACCGAUCGAUAUUAUCGAUAGAGGAUCGACGAUCGAGACACUAGCGCUUUUCGGAAGUAGGGAGUAGGGAGCGAUCGGAGCGUGACGAUCCGUUCCGGCGACAGUUGGAGAUCGAACACCGUAACGACAAGAUGUAAAUCGAGAAUUAGUCUGUAUAUAUAGAAUAAAGUUUGUAAGUAUAAUCGAGUAUAAUUAACAAAGAAUCGCGAGACCUACUUAUCCUUGAGAUUGUCUCUGAUCGAGAGACUCGACCCAAUAACGGCGGAGCGGGACGGACAUCGAGCGGCCGAAACGCCCGCACGAGAUAUCAAACAAAUAUUUUUGCAAUAAUAUGCAGCGAAUAAAUUUAAAUUCAUGGGUGUAUGUGAUAACGUUGCAUAAACCUUUUUGAAAAAUUUUUUGCGAGGCUGACUUGUUUACAAUCUCACGCUUAAAGGUCUAGAUCGAUAGAGCACAGGAUAUAGUUGAGUAAUUUUCUAUCCAAUAGUGUAAAAAGUUUAGCUGGCGCAAGAUAAAAAUAAGUUGAUUAGCAGGGGUAGAUAGCGAGAAAAGUCUCCCUGCUAAUUACCGAUCGUACCGUUUUGAACGAUCAUGAUACAUUGUUUGGCCGCAUUUCUCGAUUUACACAUUGCAAGAUAAUAAAAUCACUAAAUUUUCUCGAAUACGGUUAUAGAUUUACUUUUAAAAUAAAAAAUAUGAAU